GACGAACGCUGGCGGCGUGCUUAACACAUGCAAGUCGAACGGAAAGGCCCUGCUUUUGUGGGGUGCUCGAGUGGCGAACGGGUGAGUAACACGUGAGUAACCUGCCCUUGACUUUGGGAUAGCUUCAGGAAACUGGGGCUAAUACCGGAUAGGAGCUCCUGCUGCAUGGUGGGGGUUGGAAAGUUUCGGCGGUUGGGGAUGGACUCGCGGCUUAUCAGCUUGUUGGUGGGGUAGUGGCUUACCAAGGCUUUGACGGGUAGCCGGCCUGAGAGGGUGACCGGCCACAUUGGGACUGAGAUACGGCCCAGACUCCUACGGGAGGCAGCAGUGGGGAAUAUUGCACAAUGGGCGGAAGCCUGAUGCAGCAACGCCGCGUGCGGGAUGACGGCCUUCGGGUUGUAAACCGCUUUCGCCUGUGACGAAGCGUGGGUGACGGUAAUGGGUAAAGAAGCACCGGCUAACUACGUG
RNAcentral lists this ribosomal RNA (468 nucleotides) under uncultured bacterium. Its description in RNAcentral is "partial 16S ribosomal RNA". It matches the Rfam family "Bacterial small subunit ribosomal RNA", at positions 28 to 507 of the family's 1533-position model. The record is from RNAcentral.